GAUGAAGAACGCAGCGAAAUGCGAUAAGUAAUGUGAAUUGCAGAAUUCAGUGAAUCAUCGAAUCUUUGAACGCACAUUGUGCCCCUUGGUAUUCCGAGGGGCAUGCCUGUUCGAGCGUCAUUAUAACCCUCAAGCUCAGCUUGGUGUUGGGGCCUGCUGCACUGGCAGCCCUUAAAAUCAGUGGCGGCGCCAUCUGGCUCUAAGCGUAGUAAUUCUUCUCGCUAUGGAGUCCUGGUGGAUGCUUGCCAUCAACCCCCAAUUUUUCUAUGGUUGACCUCGGAUCAGGUAGGGAUACCCGCUGAACUUAAGCAUAUCAAUAAGCGGAGGA
Molecule: unclassified non-coding RNA, 328 nt
Filed under: soil metagenome
Description: partial contains 5.8S ribosomal RNA, internal transcribed spacer 2, and large subunit ribosomal RNA
Rfam family: 5.8S ribosomal RNA (bases 1-120)
Source: RNAcentral